Long non-coding RNA from Apis dorsata (giant honeybee), 858 nucleotides. RefSeq lists it as uncharacterized. NCBI's taxonomy places the organism in Eukaryota, Metazoa, Arthropoda, Insecta, Hymenoptera, Apidae. The record is from RefSeq and is a predicted model, not a curated record. The transcript has 2 exons.
UCGUCGAGUAGGAGAAGAACCUCGGCCUCCGGCAUAACCGUCGACGUGUCUCCUCUGUCCAUUAGCCAUCACGCGCUCGCCUCGCUUCUCGCUCGAAUGGAUCUCGGCCCUGGAACGUGACGUAAUGAGGUAAUACUUAAAUUACGUCCACGUGGUAUGGAAGUAUCGACAGAUACAGAGAGAGAGAGAGAGAGAGAGGAAGAGGGAGAGCGGGGUCUUUGGCGUGGAAAGCCGUUGGCGGAUGGGCAGAACUAGGCCGCAAACAAUGGCCCCUGCCUCUCGUUAACGACGCCACACAACCGUCUGUUCCACAGCAUCGUCUAGCACAGUCCCCGCUCUGCACUGCGGCGAGUCUCCACCGUGUUGCGUGCCGCGAUUAUCGAGUUUGGCGCGAGUUUCGUUUUUUUUCUCUCUCUGAUAAACGGAUGAAAUGGAAACAAUGGAAUUUGUGCUGUGAAAAAUGAACGAUUUUCGACGAAUUUUUUUUUUUUUUUUUUCGGAUUCGAGGAGGAUAGUUUUGUUACUCGAAUCAUGUUCGACGGUAAUCGGGUCGUUAGAAAUUUUCCCGUAGUUUGGAAUAGACAGUUUUCUCCGAGGAAAUGAAUAACGUCCGUGUGGCUGGCUAUCGUUUGUUCGAUCCUUCCGAGGAUAAAGGGCCAAUUUUUCUCCGAGAAAUUGGAUUUUCUCUAACAAUGGAGUCGACGUGCUCUUGACGUCGUGAUGUAUUUGAUAGCACUUGUAAAACCUGACCGUUUUCCUUCGAACGAAAACCAAUAGACCUUUGAUUGUCCAAAUGGUACUACUACAAACUUUAUUUAUCAACCUAAAAAAAGGAAAGAAGAGAGGAGAAAGAAGGGG